This 465-nucleotide ribosomal RNA is filed under the name Vreelandella stevensii. RNAcentral describes it as "partial 16S ribosomal RNA". It matches the Rfam family "Bacterial small subunit ribosomal RNA", at positions 338 to 795 of the family's 1533-position model. Lineage: Bacteria; Pseudomonadati; Pseudomonadota; Gammaproteobacteria; Oceanospirillales; Halomonadaceae. The record is from RNAcentral.
CCUACGGGAGGCAGCAGUGGGGAAUAUUGGACAAUGGGGGGAACCCUGAUCCAGCCAUGCCGCGUGUGUGAAGAAGGCCCUCGGGUUGUAAAGCACUUUCAGUGAGGAAGAACGCCUGGUGGUUAAUACCCAUCAGGAAAGACAUCACUCACAGAAGAAGCACCGGCUAACUCCGUGCCAGCAGCCGCGGUAAUACGGAGGGUGCGAGCGUUAAUCGGAAUUACUGGGCGUAAAGCGCGCGUAGGUGGCUUGAUAAGCCGGUUGUGAAAGCCCCGGGCUCAACCUGGGAACGGCAUCCGGAACUGUCAAGCUAGAGUGCAGGAGAGGAAGGUAGAAUUCCCGGUGUAGCGGUUAAAUGCGUAGAGAUCGGGAGGAAUACCAGUGGCGAAGGCGGCCUUCUGGACUGACACUGACACUGAGGUGCGAAAGCGUGGGUAGCAAACAGGAUUAGAUACCCCUGUAGUC